This is a small nucleolar RNA of Argentina anserina (silverweed cinquefoil), 107 nucleotides long. NCBI's taxonomy places the organism in Eukaryota, Viridiplantae, Streptophyta, Magnoliopsida, Rosales, Rosaceae. The record is from RefSeq and is a predicted model, not a curated record.
AAGCCAUGAUGUGGACAUUUCCUUUGUAGCUCUUGGAAUUCCUCUCAUUCUUUAUAUAAAGUAUCACCAUCCUUCUGAAUGAAGUCAUGAAUUUCCUUUCUAAGUUU